RNAcentral lists this long non-coding RNA (208 nucleotides) under Setaria viridis. Its description in RNAcentral is "long non-coding RNA (SVIR_LNC001848)". The record is from RNAcentral. Lineage: Eukaryota; Viridiplantae; Streptophyta; Magnoliopsida; Poales; Poaceae.
GGUGAGUUGAUGUGGAGAGUUCGGGCAGCUGUAUCUAGAACCACUUGGUGUCUGGUCAUCCAAUCCAUCCUGAGGAUGAGAUCCAUUCCUUCCAGGUCAAGGAUGAUAAGAUUCUCCUUAAACAGAGUUUGGCCUAGCUGGAGAGGUACAAGAGGAACGAUCUGAUCCGAGGCUAUCUUUCCUCCCGAAGUGGCGAUCACAUAUGAUC